This is a long non-coding RNA of Ipomoea nil (Japanese morning glory), 1014 nucleotides long. RefSeq lists it as uncharacterized. The transcript has 3 exons. Lineage: Eukaryota; Viridiplantae; Streptophyta; Magnoliopsida; Solanales; Convolvulaceae. The record is from RefSeq and is a predicted model, not a curated record.
GAAGUGAGUGGAAAUGGUUAUUUGUGUAAAGUUACAAUCCUUGCCAGACCAUGAUGCUGUUGUUUGAUGAGAAAAAUUGUUGCAUGCUGUGUGUUUGUGGAUGAUGGCAGUACAUCUUAAAGGGUGAUGGCUUUGUCUCUAUAGUUGCGUCUUUAGUAUGAAACCACAGAAUGCUGAUCAAAACGUAACAAGUGAAUUAUUCAUUUGUAGUGAUAAGUAGAAUAAUCUCCACUCAUUAGAUAAUUAGACCAUUAAUUAGUGUUGCAAAAAUCAUGUAUAUGGUGCCUGAUUCAUCGGUGCUCGGCAGUGUUGACGAAUGUUGAAAUUGGCUUCCUUUGCAUCCGGCUGCCUAGGUGGCUGAACCGCAGUUUUUUUAUAAAAAUAAACAAAAAGAAGAAACAAGAGUUAUUUAGCUGGUAUGGAACAAGAAGAGGGGGCUGAUGUGUUGAUUCCUUUGCUGGGUUUGGAGAUGUAAUUUUGCUCUUGUUAAGGCAAUAAAUUAGAGUCUCUGAUGCGCAUUGUCCAUGGCGUUUUCAGCGCUGUACGUUGCCGAUAAUGAAUUGGAACUGAGAUUCUGGCAUGCCUUUCUCUUUUCCUGGAAGCGUAUGCAUUCAGAUGCUCCAAUAUUAUAUAUCUGUCCAAGGUUUUUUCCGUGAUGUUAUACGCUGCAUAUGAAUGAGAUAAAGAUCUUCAAUUUUGUGUUUAUUUUCGCAAAUUUGUCUUCAUACAUUUUUAUUCAUUUACCAGGUGCAAAUAAGGAAGGUGAUGAUUGUUUUUUGUUGCCCCAGUCUUAGUUGUGUCCAUAGAUGCAACAUGGUGAUUGACAUGUCAUUUCUGAUUCCAUUUUGCCUCUCUGAGUUGCAUUUGGUGUUGCUUUUUUUAACUGCCUAUAGUUAGGAACAUAUGCAGAUAUGCAAGGAGGUGUGAUGAUUGUUAUCCAUCUAAAUCUGUAUGUUUCAGUGAUGAUUUCAAAACAUGCACUACCAUCUGAUCUCUAGAGCACACUUCUGAACU